This 497-nucleotide ribosomal RNA is filed under the name uncultured bacterium. Its description in RNAcentral is "partial 16S ribosomal RNA". It matches the Rfam family "Bacterial small subunit ribosomal RNA", at positions 28 to 507 of the family's 1533-position model. The record is from RNAcentral.
GAUGAACGCUGGCGGCGUGCCUAAUACAUGCAAGUCGAGCGAACAGACGAGGAGCUUGCUCCUCUGACGUUAGCGGCGGACGGGUGAGUAACACGUGGAUAACCUACCUAUAAGACUGGGAUAACUUCGGGAAACCGGAGCUAAUACCGGAUAAUAUAUUGAACCGCAUGGUUCAAUAGUGAAAGACGGUUUUGCUGUCACUUAUAGAUGGAUUCGCGCCGCAUUAGCUAGUUGGUAAGGUAACGGCUUACCAAGGCAACGAUGCGUAGCCGACCUGAGAGGGUGCACGGCAACAACGGACGUGAGAACCGGUCCCGACUCCUACGGGCGGCAGCAGUAGGCAAUCUUCCGCAAUGGGCGAACGCCUGACGGAGCAACGCCGCGUGAGUGACGAAGGUCUUCGGAUCGUAAAACUCUGUUAUUAGGGAAGAACAAAUGUGUAAGUAACUAUGCACGUCUUGACGGUACCUAAUCAGAAAGCCACGGCUAACUACGUG